This is a long non-coding RNA of Felis catus (domestic cat), 453 nucleotides long. RefSeq lists it as uncharacterized. Lineage: Eukaryota; Metazoa; Chordata; Mammalia; Carnivora; Felidae. The transcript is spliced from 3 exons. The record is from RefSeq and is a predicted model, not a curated record.
UCACUGGGUCUCGCACCACAGGCUGGAGGAGCUUCCGGCAGAAUUGAGUGCUGGGGAAAGCCUGUGAUAAAUCAGCUCUGUCUUCACUAGCCAGGGGGUUGCUAUGGCAAUAGGAAUACACUGUGGGUUUUAAGAGAUGUAAUUUUCUGUGAUUCACUGUAUAUUUUUAGCCAUUUUUCUUCCUGUAUUGUCUCCCUGUGGCAAUUGCCUAUUAAUGCUGGCCUGCACCAAGAUUGGACUAAACGGUCCAUUCUCAGAAGUGAUGAAAGCCCUGGAGAUCAGACCUGAAAUGACACACUUCUUGGACCCGCCUUGACUCACCGCAUGGGCUACGCCGCAGGCUCAUGUCCCAGCACCCAAGAGCAGCAUUCUCCGAUUCCAGUCCAGGGCUCCAGAACCUACUUCAAAAUGGGACAGGAUCCCUCCAGCUCCCCCACCAUAACCAUGCACACA